GUUUAUUGGGAGGAGCUCUCUGCUGCCCCAGGAAUGGGCUGAUUUCCUGAGUACACAUUAAUCUGAGCUCCCUCAGCCCUAGGGGUAGGGGGAUUGGGGGCACAAGAUGGGUGGAGCCAGAUAGGGAAGAUUCCCCCAGUGUUGUCCUGCUCCCAGUCCAGGUUUGGGACAAUGCCGGCAGCGUUUCCCUGUGUCUUUCCCCCACAAAGUCUCCAAGUCUUUCCUCAAAUGAUCGUCAAGGUUUGGGAGAAACAAUCUCUUCCUCUGCCCGGGUUGCGUGGAUCUCCAGUGGAAAGGCUUUAUCUACCAAGAAAUGAAUUGGAUAAUCCACAUAAACAAAAAGCUUGGAAAAUUUAUCCACCAGAAUUUGCCGUGGAGAUACUUUUUGGUAUGGUUUCUGUGGAUUCUCUGCUCUUUGUGCUCUCCUCCCCACAUUGGUGGCUCCAUCUGGCACAGGGAAGCUUCUGGAUGUCAGAAGGUGGAUUCUCACUCUGUCACCCAGGCUGGAGUGUAGUGGCACAAUCUUUGCUCACUUCAACCUCUGCCUUCUGCGUUCGAGCAAUUCUCCUGCCUCAGCCUCCCGAGUAACUGGGAUUACAGGGACAGUAAGUGGUGUUUCCUGGGAGAUGCUACGGUGUUAUUUUUGCACUACAAGGGCUCUGAAGACUGCCAGGCUUGAAGUGAAGAACCACGUCACCUGCCUAUCCCAGCCAGGUGACAGUGGACAAGGGGCUUCACCUCUGAGCUGUUUUCCAGCUGUACUGGGCACAUUCCUCCUCUCACCCUGACUCACAAGGUGUUAGCAAUAAUGGACACUCCUCUAUCUUCUGCCACACUCUGAACAAUACUUCACUUCCAUCAAAUGGAUUCAUCCCAAAGGUAAUGCCCAUCGCUUCUGGAGGGAGAAAGGGAACGGGUCACGCAUGUGGAUGAUCAAAGGUCAGCUCCUGGUCAAUAUGAGAAGACUGGUUUCAGAAAAGUUGAGUGCUGAAGACUACAAAGCUGUUUGUAAGUUAUCAAGCUAGGAUUUGAUCCCAGGUCUGCCUGAUAAAUCCUGGACUCUUAACCAUGACAUAGGAGUGCCCUCUUGACUCCUAUGAUGGCAUAAAGAAUUGUAUCAGAACGGGUAAUCUGGCAUUAAAACCCCUGUGCCACAACC
Molecule: long non-coding RNA, 1159 nt
Filed under: Homo sapiens (human)
Lineage: Eukaryota; Metazoa; Chordata; Mammalia; Primates; Hominidae
Description: novel transcript
Source: RNAcentral